AGUGCCCAAUGCGGGAAUCGAACCCGGGUCGUAGCGGUCGAAAACCAAUAAUUUAGACCAUUCAUCCACCGACCC
Non-coding RNA from Cordylochernes scorpioides, 75 nucleotides. The record is from the annotation of a GenBank genome assembly. Lineage: Eukaryota; Metazoa; Arthropoda; Arachnida; Pseudoscorpiones; Chernetidae.